This 406-nucleotide ribosomal RNA is filed under the name uncultured bacterium. RNAcentral describes it as "partial 16S ribosomal RNA". It matches the Rfam family "Bacterial small subunit ribosomal RNA", at positions 30 to 526 of the family's 1533-position model. The record is from RNAcentral.
AUUGAACGCUGGCGGCAGGCCUAACACAUGCAAGUCGAGCGAGCGGCGGACGGGUGAUUCAUGUCUGGGAAACUGCCUGAUGGAGGGGGAUAACUACUGGAAACGGUAGCUACUACCGCAUACCAUCAGAUGUGCCCAGAUGGGAUUAGCUCGUAGGGGGGGUAACGGCUAACCUAGGCGACGCUCCCUAGCUGGUCUGAGAGGAUGACCAGCCACACUGGAACUGAGACACGGUCCAGACUCCUACGGGAGGCAGCAGUGGGGAAUAUUGCACAAUGGGCGAAAGCCUGAUGCAGCAAUGCCGCGUGAGUGAAGAAGGCCUUCGGGUUGUAAAGCACUUUUAGCAGGGAGGCGUUACCCGAAGAAGAAGCACCGGCUAACUCCGUGCCAGCAGCCGCGGUAAUUC